AAGGAAUAUUGGACAAUGGAGGCAACUCUGAUCCAGCCAUGCCGCGUGAAGGAAUAAGGCCCCAUGGGUUGUAAACUUCUUUUAGACGGGACAAAACCCCUUUACGUGUAAAGGGUUGAUGGUACUGUCAGAAUGAGCAUCGGCUAACUUCGUGCCAGCAGCCGCGGUAAUACGAAGGAUGCAAGCGUUAUCCGGAAUUAUUGGGUUUAAAGGGUGCGUAGGCGGACUAAUAAGUCAGUGGUGAAAGCCUGCAGCUUAACUGCAGAAUUGCCAUUGAUACUGUUAGUCUUGAGUACAGUUGAGGUAGGCGGAAUGUGUCAUGUAGCGGUGAAAUGCUUAGAUAUGACACAGAACACCGAUUGCGAAGGCAGCUUGCUAAGCUGUAACUGACGCUGAGGCACGAAAGCGUGGGGAGCAAACA
Molecule: ribosomal RNA, 421 nt
Filed under: uncultured bacterium
Lineage: Bacteria
Description: bacterial SSU rRNA
Rfam family: Bacterial small subunit ribosomal RNA
Source: RNAcentral